GUUAUUAUCCGCCCCUCAAGAUUUUUUGUGGGGCGGUUGAUUAUCUACUGCCUUUUUGGAGAAAAGUGAAUGGCUCGUAUUGCCGGUGUAAACAUUCCGGAU
Non-coding RNA from Acinetobacter sp. ANC 3832, 102 nucleotides. The record is from Rfam. NCBI's taxonomy places the organism in Bacteria, Pseudomonadati, Pseudomonadota, Gammaproteobacteria, Moraxellales, Moraxellaceae.